This 1198-nucleotide ribosomal RNA is filed under the name uncultured organism. Its description in RNAcentral is "bacterial SSU rRNA". It matches the Rfam family "Bacterial small subunit ribosomal RNA", at positions 259 to 1454 of the family's 1533-position model. The record is from RNAcentral.
AAUGGCCUACCAAGGCUGUGAUGGGUAGCCGGCCUGAGAGGGUGAUCGGCCACAUUGGGACUGAGAUACGGCCCAAACUCCUACGGGAGGCAGCAGUUAAGAAUCUUGCGCAAUGGGCGAAAGCCUGACGCAGCGACGCCGCGUGGACGAUGAAGGCCUUAGGGUUGUAAAGUCCAUUAAGCAGGGAAGAAUAAACAUGUUAUAACAUGGCAUGUGAUGACGGUACCUGCUGAAAGCCUCGGCUAACUACGUGCCAGCAGCCGCGGUAACACGUAUGAGGUGAGCGUUGUUCGGAAUUAUUGGGCGUAAAGGGCGUGUAGGCGGGGAACUAAGUUAGAUGUGAAAGCCAUGGGCUCAACCCGUGAAUUGCAUCUAAUACUGGUUCUCUUGAGUUCGGGAGAGGUGAGCGGAAUUCCCGGUGUAGCGGUGAAAUGCGUAGAUAUCGGGAAGAACACCAGUGGCGAAGGCGGCUCACUGGCCUAGAACUGACGCUAAGGCGCGAAAGCGUGGGGAGCGAACGGGAUUAGAUACCCCGGUAGUCCACGCCGUAAACGUUGUAUACUAGGUGUUAGUGGAUUUAUUCACUAGUGCCGAAGCUAACGCAUUAAGUAUACCGCCUGGGGAGUACACUCGCAAGGGUGAAACUCAAAGAAAUUGACGGGGGCCCGCACAAGCGGUGGAUCAUGUGGUUUAAUUCGAUGAUACGCGAAGAACCUUACCUGGGCUUGAACUGUACCUGACAGGUGUAGAGAUACACCCUCCUUCGGGCAGGUAUAGAGGUGCUGCAUGGUUGUCGUCAGCUCGUGUCGUGAGAUGUUGGGUUAAGUCCCGCAACGAGCGCAACCCUUACUCCUUGUUGCUAACAGGUUAAGCUGAGCACUCUAGGGGGACUGCCGGUUAUAAACCGGAGGAAGGUGAGGAUGACGUCAAAUCAGCACGGCCUUUAUGUCCAGGGCUACACACGUGAUACAAUGGUCGGUACAAAGAGCUGCGAGCCCGCGAGGUGGAGCUAAUCUCAAAAAACCGGCCUCAGUUCGGAUUGCAGUCUGCAACUCGACUGCAUGAAGGUGGAAUCGCUAGUAAUCGCAGAUCAGCACGCCCCGCUGAAUACGUUCCCGGGCCUUGUACACACCGCCCGUCACACCAUCCGAGUUGGCAGCACCCAAGUUGGCUGGUCUAACCCUUCGGGGAGGAAGGU